GAAAAUCAGCCGAGGGACAGAUUAAAGGUCUUGGAGGGUCGGAUCCGGUCCACGGGCCGGAUGUUUGACACCCCCACUGUAGACGAAGACAGACAGUCUGUGUUGGUGAUGUUUUCUCGAUCAUCACAGUUUUGUGUUCUUCAUUCUCUCCACAUGAAACACAAAAGUAACUGGUGAAUUUUAUUUGAUUAUUUUUCUUGUGUUUUCUGCUCAGCCUUUUCAGGUCCAGUUUCCUGCAGCAAACGGCGAAGAGGCUCGUCCAGACUAUGACAACGAAGAAGACGAUAUAGAAGAUAUGUUCAACGAUGAAUACAGUGGAGAUAAUGAAGAUGACGGUUCUUCUCAGGAUGUGCCCAGGAGUUCCGGAGCGUCGGUCCACGUCGGCGUCUGCCUCCUCCUCUUCCUCGCCUUCACUCAGAAGAUGCUUUUCUGAAACAUCUGAAACUACGGCUCAAAAAAUAAACCCAAGAAAACGUCACAGAAAUCAGCGAAAAACAAAUCCAGUUAUGAAGCGAAUCCUCAACGAACGUGACGUCAUCUGGCAACAAAAUGCUUGGUUCCACCUUGUGACAUCAUCAACUAAAGAUCUUAUUGGCUUUUUUUCCAUUCCUUACACUUCCUAUAUAAAAACAAAAUAAUAACCUCACAGGAAGUUAUAAUCUGUGUGUCAUUUGUUCGUUUGUUUUUCAAAAUAAAACCAAAAAUAAGAAAAUGAAAAAAACAACAAUUUUCUUCAAUAUUUGUCACCAAAACCAAAAUGAAAAAAUA
Long non-coding RNA from Boleophthalmus pectinirostris (great blue-spotted mudskipper), 768 nucleotides. RefSeq lists it as uncharacterized. The record is from RefSeq and is a predicted model, not a curated record. Lineage: Eukaryota; Metazoa; Chordata; Actinopteri; Gobiiformes; Gobiidae. The transcript is spliced from 3 exons.